AUUGAACGCUGGCGGCAGGCCUAACACAUGCAAGUCGAGCGGAUGAGAAGAGCUUGCUCUUCGAUUCAGCGGCGGACGGGUGAGUAAUGCCUAGGAAUCUGCCUGGUAGUGGGGGACAACGUUUCGAAAGGAACGCUAAUACCGCAUACGUCCUACGGGAGAAAGCAGGGGACCUUCGGGCCUUGCGCUAUCAGAUGAGCCUAGGUCGGAUUAGCUAGUUGGUGAGGUAAUGGCUCACCAAGGCGACGAUCCGUAACUGGUCUGAGAGGAUGAUCAGUCACACUGGAACUGAGACACGGUCCAGACUCCUACGGGAGGCAGCAGUGGGGAAUAUUGGACAAUGGGCGAAAGCCUGAUCCAGCCAUGCCGCGUGUGUGAAGAAGGUCUUCGGAUUGUAAAGCACUUUAAGUUGGGAGGAAGGGCAUUAACCUAAUACGUUAGUGUUUUGACGUUACCGACAGAAUAAGCACCGGCUAACUCUGUGCCAGCAGCCGCGGUAAUACAGAGGGUGCAAGCGUUAAUCGGAAUUACUGGGCGUAAAGCGCGCGUAGGUGGUUUGUUAAGUUGGAUGUGAAAGCCCCGGGCUCAACCUGGGAACUGCAUCCAAAACUGGCAAGCUAGAGUACGGUAGAGGGUGGUGGAAUUUCCUGUGUAGCGGUGAAAUGCGUAGAUAUAGGAAGGAACACCAGUGGCGAAGGCGACCACCUGGACUGAUACUGACACUGAGGUGCGAAAGCGUGGGGAGCAAACAGAAUUAGAUACCCUGGUAGUCCACGCCGUAAACGAUGUCAACUAGCCGUUGGAAUCCUUGAGAUUUUAGUGGCGCAGCUAACGCAUUAAGUUGACCGCCUGGGGAGUACGGCCGCAAGGUUAAAACUCAAAUGAAUUGACGGGGGCCCGCACAAGCGGUGGAGCAUGUGGUUUAAUUCGAAGCAACGCGAAGAACCUUACCAGGCCUUGACAUGCAGAGAACUUUCCAGAGAUGGAUUGGUGCCUUCGGGAACUCUGACACAGGUGCUGCAUGGCUGUCGUCAGCUCGUGUCGUGAGAUGUUGGGUUAAGUCCCGUAACGAGCGCAACCCUUGUCCUUAGUUACCAGCACGUAAUGGUGGGCACUCUAAGGAGACUGCCGGUGACAAACCGGAGGAAGGUGGGGAUGACGUCAAGUCAUCAUGGCCCUUACGGCCUGGGCUACACACGUGCUACAAUGGUCGGUACAGAGGGUUGCCAAGCCGCGAGGUGGAGCUAAUCUCACAAAACCGAUCGUAGUCCGGAUCGCAGUCUGCAACUCGACUGCGUGAAGUCGGAAUCGCUAGUAAUCGCGAAUCAGAAUGUCGCGGUGAAUACGUUCCCGGGCCU
This 1358-nucleotide ribosomal RNA is filed under the name uncultured bacterium. RNAcentral describes it as "bacterial SSU rRNA". It matches the Rfam family "Bacterial small subunit ribosomal RNA", at positions 28 to 1381 of the family's 1533-position model. The record is from RNAcentral.